AUUCGACUGAAAAGUGCAGAAUAGAACGAAACACGUGUCCUGGAU
RNAcentral lists this non-coding RNA (45 nucleotides) under Trichobilharzia regenti. The record is from RNAcentral. Lineage: Eukaryota; Metazoa; Platyhelminthes; Trematoda; Strigeidida; Schistosomatidae.